GUUUCUUCAAGAAUAAAUCAGUGGCACUUGAAGUUACAUUAAGGUUACAUCUCUCCCAGAUUGUGUGGAAAAGACCAGACGGUCAUCAGGGAAGAAUCCCGACUCAGUGGUUCUGGACCCAAGGAAGCAAGAUUAUUCCAAGGUGUGAAACAAAGGAAAACGGAAUCCCCACUCUGUGGAAAUAAUGUGGUCUUUAUUUGACCUGGAUGUAGCUGGGGUGAAAUCAAGAAAGGAAUUCCACAGAUAUGUUCUUUUUUUGGCGGUAAUUUUGGAAUUCCAGCACUUCACUUUGGAAACGCUACUUGAGACAGGAGGAAAAAAGUCUGUCUUCCAUUUUGGUUGAAGAAAAAUGAACACAUUUCUACAAGAAACCAGGGUAGAAAAAUUGAUUAAUGAUUCACCACAACAUCCACUCCUCCCUUUUUUGCCCAGUGGCAAAUUUGUGAUAUUAAAGGGGUUUGUUUGUUUUUUUGAGACAGAAUCACUCUGUCACCCAAGCUAGAGUAUACAGAAUCUGGCUUCAGCCUAGCUCACAGCACCCUCAAACUCUUGGACUCAAGAGAUCCACUUGCUGGCCAGGCAUGGUGGCUCAUGCUGUUAAUCCUAGCACUCUAGGGGGCCGAGGCAGCUGGAUUGCUUGAAUUCAGGAGUUGGAGAACAGCCUGAAAAAGAGCGAGACUCCAUCUCUAAAAAUGAGUGGUUGUUGUGGGAAGCACCUAUAGUCCCUGCUACUCGGGAGGCUGAGGCAGGAGGAUCUCUUGAGCCCAAGAGUUUGAGGUUGCUGUGAGCUAUGAUGUCACAGCACUUUACGAAGGGCAACAGAAUGAGACUCUCUCUGAAAAAAAAAAAAUAGCUAUUUGAAAUUUCCUUUGAAUAUAGCCAAAACAGAGUUGCCUCCUGAAUUACCAGGUAAAUUUAGGGUGUACUAUAUAUGACAAAUAGUGCUGUCACGUUUUCUACUUGAAAACUAAUUGUGCCAACUUUAUUUUUGAAAUC
Long non-coding RNA from Nycticebus coucang (slow loris), 996 nucleotides. RefSeq lists it as uncharacterized. The transcript is spliced from 3 exons. Lineage: Eukaryota; Metazoa; Chordata; Mammalia; Primates; Lorisidae. The record is from RefSeq and is a predicted model, not a curated record.